This 234-nucleotide ribosomal RNA is filed under the name Escherichia coli. RNAcentral describes it as "partial 23S ribosomal RNA". It matches the Rfam family "Bacterial large subunit ribosomal RNA", at positions 1006 to 1239 of the family's 2925-position model. The record is from RNAcentral. RNAcentral also lists the same sequence under 1 other name. Lineage: Bacteria; Pseudomonadati; Pseudomonadota; Gammaproteobacteria; Enterobacterales; Enterobacteriaceae.
CGUCGUGAAGAGGGAAACAACCCAGACCGCCAGCUAAGGUCCCAAAGUCAUGGUUAAGUGGGAAACGAUGUGGGAAGGCCCAGACAGCCAGGAUGUUGGCUUAGAAGCAGCCAUCAUUUAAAGAAAGCGUAAUAGCUCACUGGUCGAGUCGGCCUGCGCGGAAGAUGUAACGGGGCUAAACCAUGCACCGAAGCUGCGGCAGCGACGCUUAUGCGUUGUUGGGUAGGGGAGCGU